This is a long non-coding RNA of Cyanistes caeruleus (blue tit), 884 nucleotides long. RefSeq lists it as uncharacterized. NCBI's taxonomy places the organism in Eukaryota, Metazoa, Chordata, Aves, Passeriformes, Paridae. The record is from RefSeq and is a predicted model, not a curated record.
UCAGGCCGCCAUGGCGGAGAUGGGGCAGAGGCUUCCUCUACAAAGCCGUGGGGCGGCCGGGCCCGUGCCCCUCCGGAGGGCGAGAUGGGCUGUGGCAGGAGGCGGGCACACACCGGCUGGCAACAAAAUGUAACAGAAACUGCGGGGCUGUGUGAGAAGCUGUGCGGCGGCCAGGUGGACACGGGGAUUAAAGUGCAGCAAAAAUCCCGAAGCGAGGCGGAAAGCAGCGCGGCUGGGCAGCGCCAGACAGGUUCCGCAAGCAGUGCCACAUGGAGGCAACAAAUGGGAGAAAAAUUCCUUGAGAGAAAGAAAAAGGAAAAAUCCUAACAUCCAACACUGGGGAAGAGGGGGAGAGUGACUUCGGGCAAGGCUUACUUCGAGGUUUGUUUGGUUUUUUUUCUUUUAAGAUGCAAUAUCUAAACAAACAUGCCUUUAAUGGUUGCCUUAUACAUUCACAGGAGACACAAGUUUAAGCAUCCCUUUAUUGCAUAAGCACCAAAGAAGUCAUUGCUCCCCUAGAAGCAGCAGAAAGCACAUGAACAAGCAAACAUGUUUUUUUGAUGUUAUCUCCAUUCAUGCACUGUUUCAGAAUUCCGCUUUCAUUUGGAAAAAGGACUUGUAAACUAAACAGCAAAACAUUUCCCUUUCCUAACAGCCUUUCCAGCCCAUAGUUUCCUCAUAGAGAUGCUGCCUGCAUUCUAGGCUGUGUUUGAUUUGCUUCCUCAAAGAAUGAUGAGAAAUGCUGUAUUCCCUCAGGCCAGAUGCCCAUAUAUUUCAGUGCCCUAUCCCUCAUACCAGCCAGGAGCAGAGGCUCAGAUAAAUUUAAGGAGUAAGGUCACAUUUCAGUAUGGUUUUCUCUCUCUGCCAGUGGUCUGUACUCCCCA